Molecule: ribosomal RNA, 497 nt
Filed under: uncultured bacterium
Lineage: Bacteria
Description: partial 16S ribosomal RNA
Rfam family: Bacterial small subunit ribosomal RNA
Source: RNAcentral
GAUGAACGCUGGCGGCGUGCCUAAUACAUGCAAGUCGAGCGAACGGACGAGAAGCUUGCUUCUCUGAUGUUAGCGGCGGACGGGUGAGUAACACGUGGAUAACCUACCUAUAAGACUGGGAUAACUUCGGGAAACCGUAGCUAAUACCGGAUAAUAUUUUGAACCGCAUGGUUCAAAAGUGAAAGACGGUCUUGCUGUCACUUAUAGAUGGAUCCGCGCUGCAUUAGCUAGUUGGUAAGGUAACGGCUUACCAAGGCAACGAUGCAUAGCCGACCUGAGAGGGUGAUCGGCCACACUGGAGCUGAGACACGGUCCAGACUCCUACGGGAGGCAGCAGUAGGGAAUCUUCCGCAAUGGGCGAAAGCCUGACGGAGCAACGCCGCGUGAGUCAUGAAGGUCUUCGGAUCGUAAAACUCUGUUAUUAGGGAAGAACAUAUGUGUAAGUAACUGUGCACAUCUUGACGGUACCUAAUCAGAAAGCCACGGCUAACUACGUG